UCCUGUUUAACACAGGCAGUCUCAUUAGAGUUCCCAACUGAAUGAUGGCAACUAAUGAUAAGGGUUGCGCUCGUUAAGGGACUUAACCCGACAUCUCACGAUACGAGCUGACGACAGCCAUGCAGCACCUAUCUCCCGGUCACCGAAGUGAAAGUCCUAUCUCUAGGAUUGUCCGGGGAUGUUAAACCCAGGUAAGGUUCUUCGCGUUGCAUCGAAUUGAACCACAUGCUCCACCGCUUGUGCGGGCCCCCGUCAAUUCCUUUGAGUUUUAAUCUUGCGACCGUACUUCCCAGGCGGAGUACUUAAUGCGUUAGCUUCGUCACUGCAGGGGUCAAUACCCACAACAACUAGUACUCAUCGUUUACGGCGUGGACUAC
RNAcentral lists this unclassified non-coding RNA (377 nucleotides) under uncultured Oligoflexales bacterium. RNAcentral describes it as "contains 16S-23S intergenic spacer region". The record is from RNAcentral. Lineage: Bacteria; Pseudomonadati; Bdellovibrionota; Oligoflexia; Oligoflexales.